This 443-nucleotide ribosomal RNA is filed under the name uncultured bacterium. Its description in RNAcentral is "partial 16S ribosomal RNA". It matches the Rfam family "Bacterial small subunit ribosomal RNA", at positions 338 to 795 of the family's 1533-position model. The record is from RNAcentral.
CCUACGGGUGGCAGCAGUGGGGAAUAUUGGGCAAUGGGCGCAACCCUGACCCAGCAACGCCGCGUGAAGGAAGAAGGAUUUCGGGUUGUAAACUUCUUUUGUCAGGGACGAAACAAGUGACGGUACCUGACUAAUAAGCCACGGCUAACUACGUGCCAGCAGCCGCGGUAAUACGUAGGGGGCAAGCGUUAUCCGGAUUUACUGGGUGUAAAGGGCGCGUAGGCGGGACUGCAAGUCAGAUGUGAAAGCCACGGGCUCAACCCGUGGCCUGCAUUUGAAACUGUAGUUCUAGAGUACUGGAGAGGCAGGUGGAAUUCCUAGUGUAGCGGUGAAAUGCGUAGAUAUUAGGAGGAACACCAGUGGCGAAGGCGGUCUGCUGGACUGUAACUGACGCUGAGGCGCGAAAGCGUGGGGAGCAAACAGGAUUAGAUACCCCAGUAGUC